AUACGGAGGGUGCAAGCGUUAUUCGGAAUCACUGGGCGUAAAGGACGCGUAGGCGGGUUGGCAAGUCAGAUGUGAAAUCCUACAGCUUAACUGUAGAACUGCAUUUGAAACUGCUAACCUAGAGUAUGGGAGGGGGAGAUGGAAUUAGUGGUGUAGGGGUAAAAUCCGUAGAUAUCACUAGGAAUACCGAAAGCGAAGGCGAUCUCCUGGAACAUAACUGACGCUAAGGCGUGAAAACGUGGGGAGCAAACAGGAUUAGAAACCCUAGUAGUCC
This 274-nucleotide ribosomal RNA is filed under the name uncultured bacterium. RNAcentral's name for it is "partial 16S ribosomal RNA". It matches the Rfam family "Bacterial small subunit ribosomal RNA", at positions 523 to 796 of the family's 1533-position model. The record is from RNAcentral.